UAAGGAAUAUUGGACAAUGCCCGCAAGGGUGAUCCAGCCAUGCCGCGUGCAGGAAGACGGCCCUAUGGGUUGUAAACUGCUUUUACACCGGAGAAAACCCCAGUACGUGUACUGGGCUGAUAGUAUGGUGAGAAUAAGCACCGGCUAACUUCGUGCCAGCAGCCGCGGUA
This 170-nucleotide ribosomal RNA is filed under the name uncultured bacterium. Its description in RNAcentral is "partial 16S ribosomal RNA". It matches the Rfam family "Bacterial small subunit ribosomal RNA", at positions 355 to 522 of the family's 1533-position model. The record is from RNAcentral.